AAUGAACGCUGGCGGCGUGCUUAACACAUGCAAGUCGAACGAGAACACUCCAGCUUGCUGGGGUAAGUAAAGUGGCGCACGGGUGAGUAACACGUGGGUAACCUGCCUUCGAAUUGGGGAUAACGUUGCGAAAGUGACGCUAAUACCGAAUAAUAUCCAAUUUUCUUCGGAAGAUUGGAUCAAAGGUGGCCUCUGAAUGUAAGCUACUGUUUGAAGAUGGGCCCGCGUACCAUUAGCUUGUUGGUGGGGUAACGGCCUACCAAGGCAACGAUGGUUAGCUGGUCUGAGAGGAUGAUCAGCCACACUGGAACUGACACACGGUCCAGACUCCUACGGGAGGCAGCAGUGAGGAAUUUUGCGCAAUGGGGGAAACCCUGACGCAGCAACGCCGCGUGAGUGAUGAAGGCCUUCGGGUCGUAAAGCUCUGUCAAGUGGAAAGAAACUAUAUAAUGCGAAUACCAUUAUAUAUUGACGGUACCACUGAAGGAAGCACCGGCUAACUCCGUGCCAGCCGCCGCCGUAAUAC
RNAcentral lists this ribosomal RNA (526 nucleotides) under uncultured bacterium. Its description in RNAcentral is "bacterial SSU rRNA". It matches the Rfam family "Bacterial small subunit ribosomal RNA", at positions 29 to 526 of the family's 1533-position model. The record is from RNAcentral.